CCUACGGGUGGCAGCAGUGAGGAAUAUUGGUCAAUGGACGAGAGUCUGAACCAGCCAAGUAGCGUGAAGGAUGACUGCCCUAUGGGUUGUAAACUUCUUUUAUAUGGGAAUAAAAUGUUCCACGUGUGGGAUUUUGUAUGUACCAUAUGAAUAAGAGACGGCUAACUCCGUGCCAGCAGCCGCGGUCAUACGGAGGAUCCGAGCGUUAUCCGGAUUUAUUGGGUUGAAAGGGAGCGUAGGUGGGUUGGUAAGUCAGUUGUGAAAGGUUGCGGCUUAACCGUACAAUUGCAGUUGAAACUGGCAGUCUUGAGUACAGUAGAGGGGGGCGGAAUUCGUGGUGUAGCGGUGAAAUGCUUAGAUAUCACGAAGAAAUCCGAUUGCGAAGGCAGCCCACUGGACUGCAACUGACACUGAGGCUCGAAAGUGUGGGUAUCAAACAGGAUUAGAUACCCUUGUAGUC
RNAcentral lists this ribosomal RNA (460 nucleotides) under uncultured bacterium. RNAcentral describes it as "partial 16S ribosomal RNA". It matches the Rfam family "Bacterial small subunit ribosomal RNA", at positions 338 to 795 of the family's 1533-position model. The record is from RNAcentral.